GCGGUUUGUCGCGUCUGCCGUGAAAGUCCGGGGCUUAACCCCGGAUCUGCGGUGGGUACGGGCAGACUAGAGUGCAGUAGGGGAGACUGGAAUUCCUGGUGUAGCGGUGAAAUGCGCAGAUAUCAGGAGGAACACCGAUGGCGAAGGCAGGUCUCUGGGCUGUAACUGACGCUGAGGAGCGAAAGCAUGGGGAGCGAACAGGAUUAGAUACCCUGGUAGUCCAUGCCGUAAACGUUGGGCACUAGGUGUGGGGGACAUUCCACGUUUUCCGCGCCGUAGCUAACGCAUUAAGUGCCCCGCCUGGGGAGUACGGCCGCAAGGCUAAAACUCAAAGGAAUUGACGGGGGCCCGCACAAGCGGCGGAGCAUGCGGAUUAAUUCGAUGCAACGCGAAGAACCUUACCAAGGCUUGACAUGAACCGGAAUGAUGCAGAGAUGUGUCAGCCACUUGUGGCCGGUUUACAGGUGGUGCAUGGUUGUCGUCAGCUCGUGUCGUGAGAUGUUGGGUUAAGUCCCGCAACGAGCGCAACCCUCGUUCCAUGUUGCCAGCGGGUUAUGCCGGGGACUCAUGGGAGACUGCCGGGGUCAACUCGGAGGAGGGUGGGGACGACGUCAAAUCAUCAUGCCCCUUAUGUCUUGGGCUUCACGCAUGCUACAAUGGCCGGUACAAAGGGUUGCGAUACUGUGAGGUGGAGCUAAUCCCAAAAAGCCGGUCUCAGUUCGGAUUGAGGUCUGCAACUCGACCUCAUGAAGUUGGAGUCGCUAGUAAU
Molecule: ribosomal RNA, 769 nt
Filed under: uncultured Actinomycetes bacterium
Lineage: Bacteria; Bacillati; Actinomycetota; Actinomycetes
Description: bacterial SSU rRNA
Rfam family: Bacterial small subunit ribosomal RNA
Source: RNAcentral